UGGGGAAUUUUGGACAAUGGGGGAAACCCUGAUCCAGCCAUCCCGCGUGUGCGAUGAAGGCCUUCGGGUUGUAAAGCACUUUUGGCAGGAAAGAAACGUCAUGGGUUAAUACCCCGUGAAACUGACGGUACCUGCAGAAUAAGCACCGGCUAACUACGUGCCAGCAGCCGCGGUAAUACGUAGGGUGCAAGCGUUAAUCGGAAUUACUGGGCGUAAAGCGUGCGCAGGCGGUUCGGAAAGAAAGAUGUGAAAUCCCAGAGCUCAACUUUGGAACUGCAUUUUUAACUACCGGGCCAGAGUGUGUCAGAGGGAGGUGGAAUUCCGCGUGUAGCAGUGAAAUGCGUAGAUAUGCGGAGGAACACCGAUGGCGAAGGCAGACUCCUGGGAUAACACUGACGCUCAUGCACGAAAGCGUGGGGAGCAAACAGG
This 429-nucleotide ribosomal RNA is filed under the name Acidobacteriota bacterium. RNAcentral's name for it is "Acidobacteria bacterium partial 16S ribosomal RNA". It matches the Rfam family "Bacterial small subunit ribosomal RNA", at positions 355 to 776 of the family's 1533-position model. The record is from RNAcentral. Lineage: Bacteria; Pseudomonadati; Acidobacteriota.